UGGCCAUAUCAGGUUGAAACAUCGGAUUCCAUACGAUCACCGAUGUAAAGCAACGUUGAGUCUAAUCAGUUCCUAGAUGGGUGACUGCAUGGGAAUACUAAGAGGUGUAAG
Acanthosepion pharaonis is the source of this 111-nucleotide non-coding RNA. The record is from the annotation of a GenBank genome assembly. Lineage: Eukaryota; Metazoa; Mollusca; Cephalopoda; Sepiida; Sepiidae.